AACACUCCUAAACCCAUGUGAAACCUACCUUUGUUGCCUCGGCAGGUCUGCAACUUACCCUGAGGGUACCUACCCUGUAGGUACCUUACCCGGUAGUUGCGGGCAUAACCUGCCGGUGGUCUACUAAACUCUGUUUACUAUGUCAUUCUGAAUAAUAUAACUAAAUAAGUUAAAACUUUCAACAACGGAUCUCUUGGUUCUGGCAUCGAUGAAGAACGCAGCGAAAUGCGAUAAGUAAUGUGAAUUGCAGAAUUCAGUGAAUCAUCGAAUCUUUGAACGCACAUUGCGCCCAUUAGUAUUCUAGUGGGCAUGCCUGUUCGAGCGUCAUUUCAACCCUUAAGCCCUGUUGCUUAGCGUUGGGAGCCUACAGAUACCCUCUGUAAUUCCUUAAAGUUAGUGGCGGAGUCGGUUUCACACUCUAGACGUAGUAAAUUUUAUCUCGCCUAUAGAUGAGCCGGUCCCUUGCCGUAAAACCCCCUAAUUUCUAAAGGUUGACCUCGGAUCAGGUAGGAAUACCCGCUGAACUUAAGCAUAUCAAUAAGCGGAGGAAA
Molecule: ribosomal RNA, 551 nt
Filed under: fungal endophyte
Lineage: Eukaryota; Fungi
Description: eukaryotic LSU rRNA
Rfam family: 5.8S ribosomal RNA (bases 174-327)
Source: RNAcentral